GACGAACGCUGGCGGCGUGCCUAAUACAUGCAAGUUGAGCGAUGAAGAUUGGUGCUUGCACCAAUUUGAAGAGCAGCGAACGGGUGAGUAACGCGUGGGGAAUCUGCCUUUGAGCGGGGGACAACAUUUGGAAACGAAUGCUAAUACCGCAUAACAACUUUAAACAUAAGUUUUAAGUUUGAAAGAUGCAAUUGCAUCACUCAAAGAUGAUCCCGCGUUGUAUUAGCUAGUUGGUGAGGUAAAGGCUCACCAAGGCGAUGAUACAUAGCCGACCUGAGCGGGUGAUCGGCCACAUUGGGACUGAGACACGGCCCAAACUCCUACGGGAGGCAGCAGUAGGGAAUCUUCGGCAAUGGACGAAAGUCUGACCGAGCAACGCCGCGUGAGUGAAGAAGGUUUUCGGAUCGUAAAACUCUGUUGGUAGAGAAGAACGUUGGUGAGAGUGGAAAGCUCAUCAAGUGACGGUAACUACCCAGAAAGGGACGGCUAACUACGUG
Molecule: ribosomal RNA, 497 nt
Filed under: uncultured bacterium
Lineage: Bacteria
Description: partial 16S ribosomal RNA
Rfam family: Bacterial small subunit ribosomal RNA
Source: RNAcentral